UACGAUGGGGGCGUAGCGUUGCUCGGAAUUACUGGGCGUAAAGGGCGCGUAGGCGGACAUUUAAGUCAGAGGUGAAAGCCCAGGGCUCAACCUUGGAAUUGCCUUUGAUACUGGAUGUCUUGAGUUCGGGAGAGGUGAGUGGAAUGCCGAGUGUAGAGGUGAAAUUCGUAGAUAUUCGGCGGAACACCAGUGGCGAAGGCGACUCACUGGCCCGAUACUGACGCUGAGGCGCGAAAGCGUGGGGAGCAAAC
RNAcentral lists this ribosomal RNA (251 nucleotides) under uncultured bacterium. RNAcentral's name for it is "partial 16S ribosomal RNA". It matches the Rfam family "Bacterial small subunit ribosomal RNA", at positions 524 to 773 of the family's 1533-position model. The record is from RNAcentral.